This 403-nucleotide ribosomal RNA is filed under the name uncultured bacterium. RNAcentral describes it as "bacterial SSU rRNA". It matches the Rfam family "Bacterial small subunit ribosomal RNA", at positions 355 to 775 of the family's 1533-position model. The record is from RNAcentral.
UAGGGAAUAUUAGUAAUGGGCGAAAGCCUGAACUAGCAACGCCGCGUGUGCGAAGAAGGCCUUCGGGUUGUAAAGCACAUUUUGAGAGGAUGAGGAAGGACGGUACCCUCAGAAUAAGUCUCGGCUAACUACGUGCCAGCAGCCGCGGUAACACGUAGGAGGCGAACGUUAUCCGGAUUUACUGGGCGUAAAGCGCGUGUAGGUGGUUUGGUAAGUAGGGCGUGAAAGCUCCUGGCUCAACUGGGAGAGGCCGUUCUAAACUGCCGAACUAGAGGAUGGUAGAGGGAGGUGGAAUUCCGGGUGUAGCGGUGGAAUGCGCAGAUAUCCGGAGGAACACCAGUGGCGAAGGCGGCCUCCUGGGCCACUCCUGACACUCAGACGCGAAAGCUAGGGUAGCAAACGG